CGGGUAACGGAGAAUUAGGGUUCGAUUCCGGAGAGGGAGCCUGAGAAAUGGCUACCACUUCUAAGGAGGGCAGCAGGCGCGCAAAUUACCCAAUCCUAAUACUGGGAGGUAGUGACAAUAAAUAACAAUGCUGAAGUUCAUACUUUGGUAAUUGGAAUGAGAACAAUUUAAACCCCUUAACGAGUAACCAUCAGAGGGCAAGUCUGGUGCCAGCAGCCGCGGUAAUUCCAGCUCUGAUAGCGUAUAUUAAAGUUGUUGCAGUUAAAAAGCUCGUAGUUGGAUUUUAGAGUGUAUUGAUACGGUCUCUUGUGAUAAACUUGUUGUACUGUAUCAAUUACUCUUUCCUACUGGUUACUCGACUCUGUUCUUUAUUGCAUGGAGUAGUGUCGCAAGGCAUCGCUUAGUAUUUUAUUGCUUUUUAGAUUGUAGUAAUUGGGUAAAACUGGUUAUGAAACCUAAGGGAUCACAGUAAAAGUAUUAAGUGGGGUUCCAGUUCAUUUACUUUGAGUAAAUUAGAGUGUUCAAAGCAGCCUGUAUGGGCA
Molecule: ribosomal RNA, 542 nt
Filed under: uncultured eukaryote
Lineage: Eukaryota
Description: bacterial SSU rRNA
Rfam family: Eukaryotic small subunit ribosomal RNA
Source: RNAcentral